UUUUUAUGAGGUGAAUCAACUUCCCAGUAAGAACACUUGAAUAGCCGUUAUUUAAAUCAUUAGGUCCUAAAAGUUGUAAAAUGCACUAAUAGCCGAAUCAAGUUAUUUUCCUUCCUCUGUUCAUCUGAAUGAGACCCAGAUUGAGGGCUAGACUGAGGGCUGGGAGGCGGAGUUAAAGGUGCAAUGUGCGGGAGGAGGA
Sebastes umbrosus (honeycomb rockfish) is the source of this 199-nucleotide long non-coding RNA. RefSeq lists it as uncharacterized. NCBI's taxonomy places the organism in Eukaryota, Metazoa, Chordata, Actinopteri, Perciformes, Sebastidae. The record is from RefSeq and is a predicted model, not a curated record. The transcript has 3 exons.